Molecule: transfer RNA, 73 nt
Filed under: Akkermansia sp.
Lineage: Bacteria; Pseudomonadati; Verrucomicrobiota; Verrucomicrobiia; Verrucomicrobiales; Akkermansiaceae
Description: tRNA-Ile
Rfam family: tRNA
About the family: Transfer RNA (tRNA) molecules are approximately 80 nucleotides in length. Their secondary structure includes four short double-helical elements and three loops (D, anti-codon, and T loops).
Source: RNAcentral
GGGGCUGUAGCUCAGCGGUUAGAGCAGAGGACUCAUAAUCCUUUGGUCCAGGGUUCAAAUCCCUGCGGCCCUA